GACGAACGCUGGCGGCGGGCUUAACACAUGCAAGUCGAACGGUAAGGCCCUUCGGGGGUACACGAGUGGCGAACGGGUGAGUAACACGUGGGUGAUCUGCCCUGCACUUCGGGAUAAGCCUGGGAAACUGGGUCUAAUACCGGAUAGAACCACUGCCUGCAUGGGUGGUGGUGGAAAGCUUUUGCGGUGUGGGAUGGGCCCGCGGCCUAUCAGCUUGUUGGUGGGGUGAUGGCCUACCAAGGCGACGACGGGUAGCCGGGCCUGAGAGGGUGACCGGCCACACUGGGACUGAGAUACGGCCCAGACUCCUACGGGAGGCAGCAGUGGGGAAUAUUGCACAAUGGGCGCAAGCCUGAUGCAGCGACGCCGCGUGAGGGAUGACGGCCUUCGGGUUGUAAACCUCUUUCAGCACCGACGAAGCGCAAGUGACGGUAGGUGCAGAAGAAGGACCGGCCAACUACGUGCCAGCAGCCGCAGUAA
RNAcentral lists this ribosomal RNA (480 nucleotides) under uncultured bacterium. RNAcentral describes it as "partial 16S ribosomal RNA". It matches the Rfam family "Bacterial small subunit ribosomal RNA", at positions 28 to 523 of the family's 1533-position model. The record is from RNAcentral.